ACCUGGCUGGCUCAGUUGGUAGAGCGUGCAACUCUUGAUCUCAGGGUGGUGGGUUCAAGCCUCAUGUUGGGUG
This 73-nucleotide transfer RNA is filed under the name Felis catus (domestic cat). It matches the Rfam family "tRNA". From Rfam's summary of the family: Transfer RNA (tRNA) molecules are approximately 80 nucleotides in length. The record is from Rfam by way of RNAcentral. RNAcentral also lists the same sequence under 5 other names. Lineage: Eukaryota; Metazoa; Chordata; Mammalia; Carnivora; Felidae.